RNAcentral lists this ribosomal RNA (468 nucleotides) under uncultured bacterium. RNAcentral describes it as "partial 16S ribosomal RNA". It matches the Rfam family "Bacterial small subunit ribosomal RNA", at positions 28 to 507 of the family's 1533-position model. The record is from RNAcentral.
GACGAACGCUGGCGGCGUGCUUAACACAUGCAAGUCGAACGGAAAGGCCCUGCUUUUGUGGGGUGCUCGAGUGGCGAACGGGUGAGUAACACGUGAGUAACCUGCCCUUGACUUUGGGAUAACUUCAGGAAACUGGGGCUAAUACCGGAUAGGAGCUCCUGCUGCAUGGUGGGGGUUGGAAAGUUUCGGCGGUUGGGGAUGGACUCGCGGCUUAUCAGCUUGUUGGUGGGGUAGUGGCUUACCAAGGCUUUGACGGGUAGCCGGCCUGUGAGGGUGGCCGGCCACAUUGGGACUGAGAUACGGCCCAGACUCCUACGGGAGGCAGCAGUGGGGAAUAUUGCACAAUGGGCGGAAGCCUGAUGCAGCAACGCCGCGUGCGGGAUGACGGCCUUCGGGUUGUAAACCGCUUUCGCCUGUGACGAAGCGUGAGUGACGGUAAUGGGUAAAGAAGCACCGGCUAACUACGUG